Molecule: ribosomal RNA, 253 nt
Filed under: uncultured bacterium
Lineage: Bacteria
Description: partial 16S ribosomal RNA
Rfam family: Bacterial small subunit ribosomal RNA
Source: RNAcentral
UACGUAGGGGGCAAGCGUUGUCCGGAUUUAUUGGGCGUAAAGAGCGUGUAGGCGGCCUGACAGGUCUGCUGUGAAAACUCGAGGCUCAACCUCGAGACGUCGGCGGAAACCCUCUGGCUAGAGUCCGGAAGAGGAGAGUGGAAUUCCUGGUGUAGCGGUGAAAUGCGCAGAUAUCAGGAAGAACACCCGUGGCGAAGGCGGCUCUCUGGGACGGUACUGACGCUGAGACGCGAAAGCGUGGGGAGCGAACAGG